Molecule: ribosomal RNA, 441 nt
Filed under: uncultured bacterium
Lineage: Bacteria
Description: partial 16S ribosomal RNA
Rfam family: Bacterial small subunit ribosomal RNA
Source: RNAcentral
CCUACGGGAGGCAGCAGUGGGGAAUAUUGGGCAAUGGAGGAAACUCUGACCCAGCAACGCCGCGUGAAGGAUGAAGGUUUUCGGAUUGUAAACUUCUGUCGCGAGGGAUGAAGAAUGACGGUACCUGACUAAGAAGCCCCGGCUAACUACGUGCCAGCAGCCGCGGUAAUACGUAGGGGGCAGGCUUUAUCCGGAUUUACUGGGUGUAAAGGGAGCGUAGGCGGCUACGCAAGUCUGAAGUGAAAUGCCAGGGCUCAACACUGGAACUGCUUUGGAAACUGUGUAGCUAGAGAGCAGGAGAGGUAAGUGGAAUUCCUAGUGUAGCGGUGAAAUGCGUAGAUAUUAGGAGGAACACCAGUGGCGAAGGCGGCUUACUGGACUGUAACUGACGUUGAGGCACGAAGGCGUGGGGAGCAAACAGGAUUAGAUACCCGUGUAGUC